Molecule: long non-coding RNA, 368 nt
Organism: Mus musculus (house mouse)
Lineage: Eukaryota; Metazoa; Chordata; Mammalia; Rodentia; Muridae
Product: predicted gene, 41847
Exons: 3
Source: RefSeq, a predicted model, not a curated record
CUUUUUACCUUUAAGACAGUGUCGCAGUAAAUGGCUCGGGCUGGUGUUGAACUUCGCAUCCUCCUGUCUUCCUCUCUCUGAUCUUACAUCAUUCAGGCAGGCCUUGUGUGUGAAGAUGACCUUGAACUCCUGAUUUGUCUGCUUUACACUCACUGAGAGCAGGAAUUACAGUCCAGAUUCAUAUGGAAGCAACAUUUCCUCUUCAAGCAAAACACAAGUCCCUCCAUGUUCAGCAGUCAGUAAGUCCAGGGCCCUCCAAUUUUGGAGAACAACUCCCGCUAAGGAGGUUAUCCAGUGUUGAAGGCUGUGUAAAGUGACCGUUUCCUGGUUUAGCUCAUCCUGGAAGUCAUUGGCCAGAUGUGUUUGGA